CGCGCAGGCGGCGGACCAAGUCAGGCGUGAAAGCCCCGGGCUUAACCUGGGAACUGCGUCUGGGACUGGUAUGCUAGAGUUCGGGAGAGGAGCGUGGAAUUCCCAGUGUAGAGGUGAAAUUCGUAGAUAUUGGGAAGAACACCGGUGGCGAAGGCGGCGCUCUGGACCGAGACUGACGCUGAGGCGCGAAAGCGUGGGGAGCAAACA
This 207-nucleotide ribosomal RNA is filed under the name uncultured bacterium. RNAcentral describes it as "partial 16S ribosomal RNA". It matches the Rfam family "Bacterial small subunit ribosomal RNA", at positions 568 to 774 of the family's 1533-position model. The record is from RNAcentral.